AUACGUAGGGCGCGAGCGUUGUCCGGAAUUACUGGGCGUAAAGGGCGCGUAGGCGGCGCUUCAAGUCGUCUGUCAAAUGGGAGGGCUUAACCCUUUUUCGCAGACGAAACUGGAGAGCUUGAGAAGCAGAGAGGCAAACAGAAUUCCUGGUGUAGCGGUGAAAUGCGUAGAUAUCAGGAAGAAUACCAGUGGCGAAGGCGGUUUGCUGGCUGCAUACUGACGCUGAAGCGCGAAAGCCAGGGGAGCGAACGGGAUUAGAUACCCCGGUAGUCCUGGCAGUAAACGAUGUAUGCUGGGUGUGAGACUAGCGAUAGUUUCGUGCCGAAGUUAACGCGAUAAGCAUACCGCCUGGGGAGUACGGUCGCAAGAUUGAAACUCAAAGGAAUUGACGGGG
RNAcentral lists this ribosomal RNA (394 nucleotides) under uncultured bacterium. Its description in RNAcentral is "partial 16S ribosomal RNA". It matches the Rfam family "Bacterial small subunit ribosomal RNA", at positions 523 to 918 of the family's 1533-position model. The record is from RNAcentral.